AGUAACGCGUGAGGAACCGUAACCCUCCAAAAGAAGGGGGGGAGGAAACAGUUGGAAACGACUGCUAAUACCGCAUAAGCCCACAGCUCGGCAUCGAGCAGAGGGAAAAGGAGCAAUCCGCUUUGAGAUGGCCUCGCGUCCGAUUAGCUAGUUGGUGAGGUAAUGGCCCACCAAGGCGACGAUCGGUAGCCGGACUGAGAGGUUGAACGGCCACAUUGGGACUGAGACACGGCCCAG
Molecule: ribosomal RNA, 237 nt
Filed under: uncultured bacterium
Lineage: Bacteria
Description: partial 16S ribosomal RNA
Rfam family: Bacterial small subunit ribosomal RNA
Source: RNAcentral